RNAcentral lists this ribosomal RNA (497 nucleotides) under uncultured bacterium. Its description in RNAcentral is "partial 16S ribosomal RNA". It matches the Rfam family "Bacterial small subunit ribosomal RNA", at positions 28 to 507 of the family's 1533-position model. The record is from RNAcentral.
GAUGAACGCUGGCGGCGUGCCUAAUACAUGCAAGUCGAGCGAACAGACGAGGAGCUUGCUCCUCUGACGUUAGCGGCGGACGGGUGAGUAACACGUGGAUAACCUACCUAUAAGACUGGGAUAACUUCGGGAAACCGGAGCUAAUACCGGAUGAUAUUUUGAACCGCAUGGUUCAAUAGUGAAAGACGGUUUUGCUGUCACUUAUAGAUGGAUCCGCGCCGCAUUAGCUAGUUGGUAAGGUAACGGCUUACCAAGGCAACGAUGCGUAGCCGACCUGAGAGGGUGAUCGGCCACACUGGAACUGAGACACGGUCCAGACUCCUACGGGAGGCAGCAGUAGGGAAUCUUCCGCAAUGGGCGAAAGCUUGACGGAGCAACGCCGCGUGAGUGAUGAAGGUCUUCGGAUCGUAAAACUCUGUUAUUAGGGAAGAACAAAUGUGUAAGUAACUAUGCACAUCUUGACGGUACCUAAUCAGAAAGCCACGGCUAACUACGUG